This 407-nucleotide ribosomal RNA is filed under the name uncultured bacterium. RNAcentral's name for it is "bacterial SSU rRNA". It matches the Rfam family "Bacterial small subunit ribosomal RNA", at positions 358 to 773 of the family's 1533-position model. The record is from RNAcentral.
GGAAUUUUUGACAAUGGGGGAAACCCUGAUCAAGCAACGCCGCGUGGAUGAUGAAGUAUCUCGGUACGUAAAAUCCUUUCGACAGGGAAGACACCUUCGGGUUGACGGUACCUGUAGAAGAAGCCCCGGCUAACUCCGUGCCCGCAGCCGCGGUAAUACGGGGGGGGGCACGCGUUGUUAGGAUUUACUGGGCGUAAAGGGCGCGUAGGCGGCCGGCUAAGUCGGAUGUGAAAACUGAGGGCUCAACUCUCAGCCUGCAUCCGAUACUGGUUGGCUUGAGUGCGAGAGGGGAAAGCGGAAUUCCUGGUGUAGCGGUGAAAUGCGUAGAUAUCAGGAGGAACACCGGUGGCGAAGGCGGCUUUCUGGAUCGCAACUGACGCUGAGGCGCGAAAGCUAGGGGAGCAAAC